RNAcentral lists this ribosomal RNA (97 nucleotides) under uncultured bacterium. RNAcentral describes it as "partial 16S ribosomal RNA". It matches the Rfam family "Bacterial small subunit ribosomal RNA", at positions 1388 to 1482 of the family's 1533-position model. The record is from RNAcentral.
CACCGCCCGUCACGCCAUGGAAGCGGCGAGUGCCCGAAGUCCGUGUCGCAACCCGCAAGGGAGCAAGCGGCCGAAGGCAAGCGUCGUGACUGGGGCG